Enhydra lutris kenyoni (northern sea otter) is the source of this 2289-nucleotide long non-coding RNA. RefSeq lists it as uncharacterized. The transcript is spliced from 3 exons. The record is from RefSeq and is a predicted model, not a curated record. NCBI's taxonomy places the organism in Eukaryota, Metazoa, Chordata, Mammalia, Carnivora, Mustelidae.
UAUCUUUAGUGAGCCAUACUAUGACUGUUUCUGUCAUGGGUGCUAUUGGCGUCCCCUACUCCCACCCUUUCUCACUAAACAAAUGCUAGUCAGAUAAGUGAAAGGUAUAACUUCAGUGAAUAGAAUUGAGAUAAAUUGAAGGGAUAAUUAUGAAAUUAGAGGGAAUGCUACAAACAAAAAUACAGUGGACAAUAGCUGAGGUGGGGACUAAGAAGUUUCACAUAAAUGCAAACUCUACAUUUCAACAGCAAAUGACACAUUGGUGGCCUUAUUGUCCCCAAAGCCCAGUGUUUCCGCUGUGUUGUUCCACACUGCAUUUCUUGGCAUUUCUUUAUGAAAAGGCUGUUGUCUUUUUCUUACAGCUGUGCACUGGCAUCUACCCUCUGAACAAUGUCAGUGGGCCUGGGAAAUCAGAAUUUCGAAAUCCCAUUUCUAUGCUCAGGGUGGGUUGACCAGCUGGCCUGGAGGAAUUUCUGGCUGUGCCAACUUUAAACCUUCUGAUGUGCCAGCUUUAAAUCUUCCACCAUCUUGUAGAUGGUGAUUACCAAGUGCUAGCUAAUUAGGAAUUCACUUGCGGCGUUCACUGAUGGGAGAGAGUGAUUCUCCCAAAGCAGGUGGAUGGCCAAAUUCAAGCCUGAGGACCCAAAGGGUAGAGUUAAUUGCUUUGAUCUCACCUUGCAAAGUCAAGAUAAUCAAAAUUAAAUGCCUUGCCUGCCUUAAAACUUUUCAGUGACUCUUUAUCACUGUCAAGAAUGGAGUCAAAACCCCUUAGCACGAUAUUCACUGCCCUUCGUAGACAGUCUCUGAUGAUGUCUCGAACCCCAUACCUUGCUGUGCUCCUACUCUAUCUUAGGGCAGGACUGGGAAGCCUGUGUUUCACUAGUAGGAAGUGGCUCAUGUCUUCUCACAUGCUGUUCCUCCUGCUGGAAAUGUCAUUACCCCCUUCCGCACUUCCUUUCCUCUUUGGAGACUCAGCCAAGUGUCACGUCUUCCAAAAGGCCUUCUCUGGUAUCCAUCUUUCCCUUUGCUCAGGUCUGGAAUGGAUCCUUGUUUCUGCUCCCAUAGCUUCCCAAACUUCCCUCUAAAACAGACUAGUUAUAGUCUUAUAAUUUUGGUUUCAGUUCUUUCUUUCUCACUGCAGUGUGCCUCACUGUGUGCCUUCCUGUUCUACAGAGACACCAGCAUUGCCCGACCCAUAGCAGCUGUGACUACAAGCAAAAUGCCACCGUUCUGCUUUCCAAACCUAUGAGAACUACCGGGGUAUCACAGAUGAGUUCCUAUGCUGGUUCAUUUGCUGUCCCUUGACACCUUCUGACAAGCUCAUGAUUAUAAAGUUGAAACACUCAAAUCUCUACCAGAGAACUAUUUUUUCUGGAUUCUAUGUUGCCCCUCCUUACCUAGGAUUGAACUGUCCCUCCAGAAUGCCUUGAUGAUCAUCUCAUAGAUGGGUGGGAAGCAGUGCAAAGUCAACAGAAUUGACCACUUGAGCUCACUUGAGACUCUGUGAAGAGGCUGCUCUUUGUCUACCAAUAAUCCCUUCUCUCUCUCUUAUAAACAACCAUAAUUUUAUGUGGGCAGCAACAAGCUGAGCCAGAAGACUACUUUUCCUAGACUUGCUUAUAGCGUGGAGUAGCCCAUGAAAUAUGAGUAGUAGUCAAUGGUGAAGUUUCCAGAAAGACUCUUCUAGGAGGUACUCCUUCUUGGUUUUGUUUCUUCCUCCUUCAGGCUGCCUAGAACACAGAUGUGAAGGCUGUACUGUGGCAGCCAUAUUGUGACAUGGAAGUGACUUUGGGAAUGGAGCCGAGGACUAAGAAUGGUGGAACAGAAAAAGAGAAGGAGACCAAGUCCCUGAUAACUUGGCACUAUUACCCAAGACCUGAACCACCUAGCUUCAGAUUUACCUUAUGAGAAACCAACUUCCAUUUUGCUGAAGUGACUGUUUUUUGAGUUCUCUGUUAUAUGCAAGGGAAGGUACUCAUAAAUGACGAAGACUCUUCAAGGCCAUUUCCAGAUUUGCCCAUCAUUACGACUUCUUUUCUGCUUAUCAAGAUUGAGUUGGACUAACAUCUCUGCCGUGACACUUUCUCCAGCUGACCCUGAUUCUCCCAAUCACCCCCUUUCCUUGAUGGCGCUCAAUCUAAUAUUCCCACUGUCUAAUUUUCCCCACAGACAGUGAGCAGGAGCACAUGAGUGAAAAUAACAAUGCUAAGUACAGGACUCACUUUCCCCUUAGAUAUCAGCACACUACAAUGUAUUGAGUGGGUUUUCUCAAUAAAGACUAAAUUGAGA